Molecule: unclassified non-coding RNA, 229 nt
Filed under: plant metagenome
Description: partial contains small subunit ribosomal RNA, internal transcribed spacer 1, and 5.8S ribosomal RNA
Source: RNAcentral
UCUCCGUAGGUGAACCUGCGGAGGGAUCAUUACAGAGUUCUCGCCCUCGCGGGUAGAUCUCCCACCCACUGUGAUUGCUACCGUGUGGCUUUGGCGGGCCGCCGGGCCCCGCCCAGCCGCCGGCCCCGGCCGGCGCGUGCCCGCCAGAAGCCACGCAAACUCUGAAUGUCAGCGUCGUCUGAGUACUAUGUAAUAGUUAAAACUUUCAACAACGGAUCUCUUGGUUCUG